RNAcentral lists this ribosomal RNA (465 nucleotides) under Vreelandella stevensii. RNAcentral describes it as "partial 16S ribosomal RNA". It matches the Rfam family "Bacterial small subunit ribosomal RNA", at positions 338 to 795 of the family's 1533-position model. Lineage: Bacteria; Pseudomonadati; Pseudomonadota; Gammaproteobacteria; Oceanospirillales; Halomonadaceae. The record is from RNAcentral.
CCUACGGGUGGCUGCAGUGGGGAAUAUUGGACAAUGGGGGCAACCCUGAUCCAGCCAUGCCGCGUGUGUGAAGAAGGCCCUCGGGUUGUAAAGCACUUUCAGUGAGGAAGAACGCCUGGUGGUUAAUACCCAUCAGGAAAGACAUCACUCACAGAAGAAGCACCGGCUAACUCCGUGCCAGCAGCCGCGGUAAUACGGAGGUUGCGAGCGUUAAUCGGAAUUACUGGGCGUAAAGCGCGCGUAGGUGGCUUGAUAAGCCGGUUGUGAAAGCCCCGGGCUCAACCUGGGAACGGCAUCCGGAACUGUCAAGCUAGAGUGCAGGAGAGGAAGGUAGAAUUCCCGGUGUAGCGGUGAAAUGCGUAGAGAUCGGGAGGAAUACCAGUGGCGAAGGCGGCCUUCUGGACUGACACUGACACUGAGGUGCGAAAGCGUGGGUAGCAAACAGGAUUAGAUACCCUUGUAGUC